Molecule: non-coding RNA, 830 nt
Filed under: Pipa pipa
Lineage: Eukaryota; Metazoa; Chordata; Amphibia; Anura; Pipidae
Description: partial 12S ribosomal RNA
Rfam family: Bacterial small subunit ribosomal RNA
Source: RNAcentral
CGGUAUCAGGCUCACCUCAAGCCCAAAACACCUUGCUACGCCACACCCCCAAGGGAACUCAGCAGUGAUUAACAUUGAAGAUAAGCGACAAGCUUGACUCAGUUACAGUCAACAGAGUCGGUAAAUCUCGUGCCAGCCACCGCGGUUAUACGAAAGACUCAAGUUGAUAGCUAACGGCGUAAAGCGUGAUUAAAGGUAAGAACAAUAGAGUUGAACUGCAACUCAGCUGUCGUACGCUAUCGGUGCCUAGAAACCCCAUCACGAAAGUAACUCUACCAAAAACAACUUGAACUCACGACUGCCAGGGCACAAACUGGGAUUAGAUACCCCACUAUGCCUGGCCUUAAACCUUGACCACUUACACCAAAAUCCGCCAGGGAACUACGAGCCUCAGCUUAAAACCCAAAGGACUUGGCGGUGCCCCAUACCCACCUAGAGGAGCCUGUUCUAUAAUCGAUAACCCCCGCUUAACCUAACCACUUCUAGCCAGUCAACCUAUAUACCACCGUCGCCAGCCCACCCUGUGAGGGCAAACAAGUAGGCAAAAUUACUAACCAUAAAAACGUCAGGUCAAGGUGUAGUUUAUGAAGUGGGAAGAAAUGGGCUACAUUUUCUGUAAACAGAAUAAACGAAAGACCACUAUGAAACCUGGUCAGAAGGAGGAUUUAGCAGUAAAAAGAAACAAUAGUGUUCUUUUUAAGGCGGCCCCGGGACGCGCACACACCGCCCGUCACCCUCUUCAAAAAUACACCACAACUAAAUAAAAACUAACCAAUUUUAAGAAGAGGCAAGUCGUAACAUGGUAAGCGCACCGGAAGGUGAGCUUGGAA